RNAcentral lists this non-coding RNA (45 nucleotides) under Trichobilharzia regenti. Lineage: Eukaryota; Metazoa; Platyhelminthes; Trematoda; Strigeidida; Schistosomatidae. The record is from RNAcentral.
AUCCAGAUGACGAGUCCCGAAUAGGACGAAAUGUGCACCUUGGAU